Molecule: ribosomal RNA, 484 nt
Filed under: uncultured bacterium
Lineage: Bacteria
Description: partial 16S ribosomal RNA
Rfam family: Bacterial small subunit ribosomal RNA
Source: RNAcentral
AUUGAACGCUGGCGGCAUGCUUUACACAUGCAAGUCGAACGGCAGCGCGGGCCUCGGCCUGGCGGCGAGCGGCGAACGGGUGAGUAAUACAUCGGAACGUGCCCAGUAGUGGGGGAUAGCUCGGCGAAAGCCGGAUUAAUACCGCAUACGACCUGAGGGUGAAAGCGGGGGAUCUUCGGACCUCGCGCUAUUGGAGCGGCCGAUGGCAGAUUAGCUAGUUGGUGGGGUAAAGGCCUACCAAGGCGACGAUCUGUAGCUGGUCUGAGAGGACGACCAGCCACACUGGGACUGAGACACGGCCCAGACUCCUACGGGAGGCAGCAGUGGGGAAUUUUGGACAAUGGGCGAAAGCCUGAUCCAGCAAUGCCGCGUGUGUGAUGAAGGCCUUCGGGUUGUAAAGCACUUUUGGCGGGAACGAAAAGGACUGUGCCAAUACCACGGUUCGAUGACGGUACCCGCAGAAUAAGCACCGGCUAACUACGUG